GAGCCCAGUGGGAGCAGACUGGACGGCUGUCCCUCCCUGGCGGACUCCCGUCCUUGGUCGAUCGCAGCACCAGGAAUGUGACCCCAACUCCCCAGCCUGUUCGUCUCCCGGCACCGGUCCCUCGGGAGAUGGGGCCCGCGGCUCCCAGAACUACUGCCAGAGCCGGGGUCCAACCACGCAACGAUGUCUAGAGGGAGGUUUUCAGCGCAUUCCGGACCAGACCUGCGACCAACAUUCCUCUGGAGCGAAAACUUCGGAACCUGCAGCGGGCCGGGCGGAGCUCGAUUUCCUCCUCUGAGGUUAUAAUUGGAUAAAUCAAUUUGCAACCAUGAUCAUGAUGAAGAUGUCAUUUAAGUAUGAUAAGAGCUUUAUCAAAGAACAAGGUGUCUAAUCAGAAGAAAUACAUCAGACAAAUUCCAGUUGAAGAAUAUUAUACAAGAUACCUGACCAGCAUUCCUCAGAACUGUCAAGGUUGUUAUAAACAAGAGGAGGCUAAGGAAACACAGCGACUUAAAUGUAAUGUUGUAUCCUGAAUGGGAUUCUGGAACAGAAAAAGGACUUUAGGUAAUAACUAAUGAAAUCUGAAUAAAGCAUGGUUUUAAAUUAAUAAUGUAUUGAUAUUGGUUCAUUAAUUUUCAUAAAUGUACCCACCUUACAUUUAAUAAGUGUAAAAUAUUAAUCAUAGAGGAAACUGAGUGUGGAAUCUAUGGGAACUCUCUGAACUAUCUUUGUAAUUUUUCUGAUAAACUGUUCGAAAAAAUAAAA
Molecule: long non-coding RNA, 765 nt
Organism: Mirounga angustirostris (Northern elephant seal)
Lineage: Eukaryota; Metazoa; Chordata; Mammalia; Carnivora; Phocidae
Exons: 3
Source: RefSeq, a predicted model, not a curated record